This 87-nucleotide unclassified non-coding RNA is filed under the name Pseudomonas rhodesiae. The record is from RNAcentral. Lineage: Bacteria; Pseudomonadati; Pseudomonadota; Gammaproteobacteria; Pseudomonadales; Pseudomonadaceae.
GUGGGAGGGGGCUUGCCCCCGAUGGCGGCGUGUCAGUUGGCUUAUCCAUGACUGAACCAACCUGAUCGGGGGCAAGCCCCCUCCCAC